AAGGUACAUCUUUAAUAACCCUUUCUGCAAGUGACCAAGACGAUGGAGACAUAAUCACAUACAGCAUUGCUUCUGGAGAUACAAACAACGACUUCACAAUUGCGAUUGCUGAGCUCCAGGUCAAUACAGGGAAAACACUUGAUAUGUCAAAGGCAUCUACUUAUACACUUAUCGUACAUGCCAUUGAUGAUGACACUACAAAACAAACUGGAUCAGCUACAUAUACUAUCAACGUAAAGUCUGACUGUGGUAACGGUGCACCAGCUUUGGUCGCAACCAGCAUGACCAUCUUAAUGGCACUUGUCGCAUUUUUGGUCUAAAUUCAAAAGGCCAUGUUUGGUACUGUCAAAAUAUGUAAAAUAUAAAAAAAUGUAUAUUUAAUCAGUUGCCUUAAAACAUAAAAAACAAAAAUAGUUCGUCUUCAAUCUUUCGAUAACUGUGUUUAGGUCAAACCCGGAAAAAAACCAAACCCGCGUUAUUGUGAUGGCAGCGACGCAGACACUUUAGCAACGACUGGAACUGUUAUUGACUUUAAAUACAUUUUAAAAGGUUAUCAGAACAUCACCAUUGUCCAUUGCAAUUGACCCUUGUUUUGACAUUCCUAUUCUCUGUCCAUGAACAAAACCUACAGCCAGCUACACGCUUAAAUAUUUACUUUAAUGUUAAGUCCAUGUAUUAGACUUUUGCUUUGAAUUAAUGUUCGAAAGUCUACGCCUUUUUUGUAUUUCUUGUGUGAUUUUAUCUUUUGUGUGUAUGUCUGUAAUUGUUUGAGCAGCGAAAUGAUAUCAGUGAUGAGAUACAAGCGUAUUGAUAUUUGAUUCAUUUUGCUAUUGUUUAAAUUCAAAACUUGUAUUGUAACGUUAACAGGUAAAUAGAAAAAAUACCACACAACCAUGUAAUGUACGAUAGUUCUUUUAUUACAAAUGACAUAAUUACUUUCUAAAUUUGACUUUCACUCCGAUUGACAUUUGUUAUGUA
Long non-coding RNA from Ruditapes philippinarum (Manila clam), 978 nucleotides. RefSeq lists it as uncharacterized. Lineage: Eukaryota; Metazoa; Mollusca; Bivalvia; Venerida; Veneridae. The record is from RefSeq and is a predicted model, not a curated record. The transcript has 2 exons.